Molecule: ribosomal RNA, 253 nt
Filed under: uncultured bacterium
Lineage: Bacteria
Description: partial 16S ribosomal RNA
Rfam family: Bacterial small subunit ribosomal RNA
Source: RNAcentral
UACGGAGGGUGCAAGCGUUAUCCGGAUUCACUGGGUUUAAAGGGUGCGUAGGUGGGCCCGUAAGUCAGUGGUGAAAUCUCCGAGCUUAACUCGGAAACUGCCAUUGAUACUGUAGGUCUUGAAUUAUCUGGAGGUUAGCGGAAUAUGUCAUGUAGCGGUGAAAUGCUUAGAUAUGACAUAGAACACCGAUUGCGAAGGCAGCUGGCUACAGGUAUAUUGACACUGAGGCACGAAAGCGUGGGGAUCAAACAGG